GUGAGCUUUGAUUAAUAGUUAAUUGCAAUUUCAAAUGCUUUGUUGUUGUUGGAAAUGGGUGAGUAACAUUCAGAAAUUCACCCACAUAAAUCUUGAGUAGGUUUAUUUGUAUAUUAAUUUGGUUCUGAGCAGUGCUGAAUCAUAAUGGUUUAAAUUGUGGAUGCAGACCAAACACGGUUGUUGUAAAGCAUUGCUGUGCAUGUGAUUUUUAGUCUGAGUAAAGCACUGAGGAUGUUGACUAUCAAGGGUUUAACAAAAACAAUGUCAUGCUGAUUGUACAAACUGGAAUGGAUGAGUAAAAAUGUUUUGAUGCAAAUUGUUACAGCAGAAAUUGUCCUUUUAAAAAAAAAAAAGUCCCAGAAGUCUGGUAUUAAAAAAUGACUGUGCCAAAGGAGCUCUUUCCAACAACUGGCAAGUGCGUUCCUGACUAUGUUAAAAGUGGAUUCUCCUGGAAAAUCAACCGCUGCUGAGUAAUGCAGGAGCCUCCAUCCUCGUGUGCAGACCUGACUCACGAAGUGGUUUGGCACCUCCAUAGUCCCAGAGCUGAAGCUGCUGUCCGCUCCUCUUUGGCUGAACUGAGACCUUGAUUCUACCAGAGGACAUGACUUCACUUUCUUCCAGACCACACACUAAACAUGUUAGCUGGGAUCUUUGAG
Molecule: long non-coding RNA, 656 nt
Filed under: Sinocyclocheilus grahami
Lineage: Eukaryota; Metazoa; Chordata; Actinopteri; Cypriniformes; Cyprinidae
Description: lncRNA (ENSSGRG00000005075.1)
Source: RNAcentral